Long non-coding RNA from Struthio camelus australis, 1551 nucleotides. The record is from Ensembl. NCBI's taxonomy places the organism in Eukaryota, Metazoa, Chordata, Aves, Struthioniformes, Struthionidae.
AAAUGAACCCUUAGUGCAAUAUGCAAACUGCUCUUUACUGUGCUGCACUUGUUAGGUCUGGCUGAAUUACUUGGGGUGAAUAAUUUAUGCCACUAAUUUUGUUUUAUCUUUUUCCAUCGGAGGGAUUAUUAUUUCAUGAUCUACAUGAAAUUAAAUAAUACCUGGUAAAUACCUUUGUUAAUCUCAUUUUAUACUUACAAAUUAUGCCAGGAAAUACAAAACUGCAAUCACAUCUUUAUGCAAUUUAGACCUAAGCAACAGCAGAGUAAAAAAUUCCUGCAAAAUAAUAAAACCGCAAAAUGCAUAAAUGAAAAUACAUUUUUAAAGCAUUUUUAAUUGCAUUAAGCACCUGCAUAUGAAUUGGCACUAAAAAAUUAAGUGUUUAUUUUUAUAAAGUAUUAUUCAGGGAAUAUAGGAGAUAAUGUAAAAAUAGGGAAGGUUUUUGAACUAUGUCUUGGAAAUCAGUCUGGGAUCCAAAAGUCAAAUUUUGUUCUGAUUGUACAGUACUGCAGUAAAGACUGUAUAGUCUGAAUUUAGAGCUACUUUCUAAGUGAUCCACAGGAAACAGCACUUCAGAGGCUUUUAAAAUGAUGUGAUCACAUAGAAGUUACUGCUAGAGAAGCAAAGAUUGUCCUUCUGUGGAUGAUUUGAGUCCCAGAAGGUAAGACAAACACAAAGAACACGCACUCAGAUGCUCCUCAUCUCUUUUCUUCAAGUACGCCAUCCGUGUGCAUUUGUGCAUUACAGGCUUGCCAUAACCCAGCUUCUGCAAGAACCAUGCAGAAUUAACGUUCUGCUGAACAACGGUUUCUCCAGAGCCUCCUGAAAGAUGGCAAUGGGAAAUGAUGAAGGUCCACAGUUUAGAUGCAUCGUAACUUCCUGCAAUCUUAGUGCAAGCAAAGCCCUCCUUCAGCCUACAGAAGCAGAUGCUUUCAAAUGUAUUGAAUCUUCAUGGACUACUUGUAUCCUAAUACGCAAAACAUGCCCAGGAAUUUUCUGUGCAACAAGACCAGCUGGCAUAAAACAGCCCAUAUUUAUGCAAGAACGUCUUGCAGCUUCCAAAAUGGGGCUGGCAAAACUGCCUUUUGAGAAUGCUUCCUGGGACCUGGUAGGCGCGGAGCCAUGCCCAGGCUUGUCUGGGAGAAUGUUGGUUGGCGUGAGCCCAAUGCCUGUCGGGGACCAUUCUCACAAUUUUCUGGUGCAGACUUCUAGUUUCUAGUGCUUGGUAAUGUCCCUUAACAGCAUUCAAUUUCCUUGGCUCUCACACCACUGUGCUCAUCUAGUGCACUGAAGGCAGUCUUCCCUUCUAAGCUAAUGCUGGAAAAAAACAUAACCAUUUGUAUAUGCUUACACAAGCACUUGCUCCCUGGUAUGCUGAGUUAAGACUCUGGAGUUUGUAUGUGCCAAUAUUUCUUUGGUAAAAGGCCUCUAUCUGAUCCUGAGUGGGGGAUGACUUUUGGUGUGUGCAUUACAAAAUUAUUCAAUUCAGUAACAACGCUUCCAGCUUUUUCAUUUGAGGAUGUAGUUGUCUGGCUGGUUGUUUACUAUUAG